RNAcentral lists this ribosomal RNA (486 nucleotides) under uncultured bacterium. RNAcentral describes it as "partial 16S ribosomal RNA". It matches the Rfam family "Bacterial small subunit ribosomal RNA", at positions 28 to 507 of the family's 1533-position model. The record is from RNAcentral.
GACGAACGCUGGCGGCGUGCUUAACACAUGCAAGUCGAACGCUGAAGACCUGGCUUUUGUUGGGUUGGAUGAGUGGCGAACGGGUGAGUAACACGUGAGUAACCUGCCCUCUUCUUUGGGAUAACGCCCGGAAACGGGUGCUAAUACUGGAUAUUCACUGGCCUUCGCAUGGGGGUUGGUGGAAAGGUUUGUUCUGGUGGGGGAUGGGCUCGCGGCCUAUCAGCUUGUUGGUGGGGUGAUGGCCUACCAAGGCUUUGACGGGUAGCCGGCCUGAGAGGGUGACCGGUCACAUUGGAACUGAGAUACGGCCCAGACUCCUACGGGAGGCAGCAGUGGGGAAUAUUGCACAAUGGGCGAAAGCCUGAUGCAGCGACGCCGCGUGAGGGAUGGAGGCCUUCGGGUUGUAAACCUCUUUCGCUCAUGGUCAAGCCGCAACUGUGGGUUGUGGUGAGGGUAGUGGGUAAAGAAGCGCCGGCUAACUACGUG